RNAcentral lists this long non-coding RNA (483 nucleotides) under Parus major (Great Tit). RNAcentral describes it as "lncRNA (ENSPMJG00000016482.1)". Lineage: Eukaryota; Metazoa; Chordata; Aves; Passeriformes; Paridae. The record is from RNAcentral.
GAGCUCACUGUGCAUGUCCAUGCUGUGAUGUCUGACCGUACAGAUGCUGAUCUGAGCUGCACUCUCUUGCUGGGCAUUUUCAGUUGCCUUUAUGAUCUACAAAAUCAUUUCUCUGUGUCAUUUCUAGACACCUGCACAUCCCAGCUGCAUGCGUGGGUCCUGACAUCGGUGUCUUUGCUGUACCACAUCCACCCAUCUGCCACAGGAGCACUGGGGAAAUCUGUGCACUCACAAAGCUCUGGAGCAGAGAGAGCCAGCUCUGAAAAUACCUCCUGAAAUAUCCCGACUGUCAAGAUCUAGCCAGGAUUUACCAGGCGGUGUGGCUCUUGGUACCAGGAGAGGGCAUCAGAGACAGCUCCUGUGUCCUGCUGUGCCACUGCAGAGCAGCCACCCCUCCUGGGUACCUGUGCAGGGAAGGGACAGCCUUCCCUGGAUGGCAGCUUUCUGUGCAGUGUGUGCAGCCUGUGAAAGCUCUUGGGAAUA